This 1012-nucleotide long non-coding RNA is filed under the name Apteryx haastii (Great spotted kiwi). Its description in RNAcentral is "lncRNA (ENSAHAG00000009576.1)". The record is from RNAcentral. Lineage: Eukaryota; Metazoa; Chordata; Aves; Apterygiformes; Apterygidae.
AUGGAAAUUCUUUCUAUUUCACAUCUUCUUUCUUGCGCUUGUCAUGUAUUCUGUAAACUGCAAAGGCUGUCUCUUGGAUGGUGCAAUAACAUUUUAUUCUGUCAGAUCUCUCUUAUUUUGCCUGACAGGCACAGGAGUAUGGAUGAUCAAAAAGCCUGCUACUGGAUUUCAGCAAGGACUAGCUUAGUGAGGAUCAAUUCAGACAGAAGUUUGGGGAAGCAAGCUUCAUCCCUAUGUAUGAGAGAUCUAAUCCAACAUUCAUGAUGUGGAUUUGCAAUAAGAAAUCCAACUUGUUUUCACUAUCUUGACUGCUCCUAAAUGUUCAGUAAGCAACCCUAAAUGUUCAGUAAGCAGCGUGACUUUACCUGGGAAAGGGAACAUUGUCCUUGCCACCGAUAUACAAUAAGAUAAACACUCUACACUUUUGUGUGCCUCAGGCAAGGCAUGAGAGACAAUGUGGCUUGCUGGAGUUAAUAUAGGGACAAGGGUUAGUAAUUUCUGACUUUUAAUUCCAGCUCUCUAAAAGGCUCAGUCUGUGACCUACAGCAGCAUACUUAACAUUGUUAGUUUCUCAGGAAGAAACGUCCCUGCAAGGGUACUAAUGCAUUUUUCUCCUCCCAAGAGUGGUGUGAGGAUACAUUACUUCCAAUUUGCAAAGCAUUUUGAAAUUAAAAGUCUAUACUUUGUAGGUAGAAGUAUGACUACUAACAGUAUUAGUUUCAUUUCAUUCCUUUAUUAAGAAUUCACUAUCAUAAAUCUGGAAACUAAUCAAUUGAAUAGUCAGCUCAAAAUCUGUGAUUUUGCUGAGAUCACAUAUACCCAAUUUCAAAGGAAAAAAAAAAUUGUCAGUCUUUUACUCUGAGGUGAGUACCAGAACACUGAGAGAAUUUUUCAUUACUGGAUUCUCACACCUAGCUAAGUUCAGGUUAUUCUAGGAACAAGUUGGAGCAAGUUUAAGCAAGUUGCAGCUGGAAAGAAUAAAUGUACCGAGAGGGUUCUUGAUGAAUGGUUA